CCCUUAGACGUUCUGGGCCGCACGCGCGCUACACUGACCAGUGCAACAAGCAUCCGUCCUUGGCCGACAGGCCCGGGCAAUCUUUGAACGCUGGUCGUGAUGGGGAUAGACUUUUGCAAUUUUUGGUCUUCAACGAGGAAUUCCUAGUAAACGCGAGUCAUCAACUUGCAUUGAUUACGUCCCUGCCCUUUGUACACACCGCCCGUCGCACCUACCGAUUGAAUGGUCCGGUGAAGCCUCCGGAUUGGCGCGCACCUCGGUGCCGCCGAGAAGUUGGCUAAACCUUACCAUUUAGAGGAAGGUGAAGUCGUAACA
This 315-nucleotide ribosomal RNA is filed under the name uncultured eukaryote. RNAcentral describes it as "partial 18S ribosomal RNA". It matches the Rfam family "Eukaryotic small subunit ribosomal RNA", at positions 1470 to 1796 of the family's 1831-position model. The record is from RNAcentral.